UACAGAGGGGGCAAGCGUUGUUCGGAAUUACUGGGCGUAAAGGGCGCGUAGGCGGCCUUCUAAGUCGAACGUGAAAUCCCCGGGCUCAACCCGGGAACUGCGUCCGAUACUGGAAGGCUUGAAUCCGGGAGAGGGAUGCGGAAUUCCAGGUGUAGCGGUGAAAUGCGUAGAUAUCAGGAGGAACACCGGUGGCGAAGGCGGCCCUCUGGACGGAUACUGACGCUGAGACGCGAAAGCGUGGGGAGCAAACGGG
Molecule: ribosomal RNA, 253 nt
Filed under: uncultured bacterium
Lineage: Bacteria
Description: partial 16S ribosomal RNA
Rfam family: Bacterial small subunit ribosomal RNA
Source: RNAcentral